CUCUGAAUCACAUAAUCAUCAAAGAAAAGAAAAGUACUAGAACUUUGUAAUUUCAGUUUUAGUAAAGGCCGUAUAUAUAUAAUGCAUUAUAUAAUUUCAAGAAAGUAGAAUUGUGUGUAGUUUCAAAAUUUGAUUUCUAUUAUCUCCUAUUGAACUGUGUUAUUUCAAGAAUUUGAUUUCUUUCAUCUCCCAUUCAACUGUUAUAUAAUUUCAAGAAUUGAUUUCUUUUAUCUCACAUUCAACUGUGUAAUUUCAAGAAUUGAUUUCUUUUAUCUCACAUUCAACUGUGUAAUUUCAAGAAUUGAUUUCUUUUAUCUCACAUUCAACUGUGUAAUUUCAAGAAUUGAUUUCUUUUAUCUCACAUUCAACUGUGUAAUUUCAAGAAUUGAUUUCUUUUAUCUCACAUUCAACUGUGUAAUUUCAAGAAUUGAUUUCUUUUAUCUCACAUUCAACUGUGUAAUUUCAAGAAUUGAUUUCUUUUAUCUCACAUUCAACUGUGUAAUUUCAAGAAUUGAUUUCUUUUAUCUCACAUUCAACUGUGUAAUUUCAAGAAUUGAUUUCUUUUAUCUCACAUUCAACUGUGUAAUUUCAAGAAUUGAUUUCUUUUAUCUCACAUUCAACUGUGUAAUUUCAAGAAUUGAUUUCUUUUAUCUCACAUUCAACUGUGUAAUUUCAAGAAUUGAUUUCUUUUAUCUCACAUUCAACUGUGUAAUUUCAAAAAUUGAUUUCUUUUAUGUCAUAGUCAACUGUGUAAUUAUACUUAUCUAGACAAGGCGGCA
RNAcentral lists this long non-coding RNA (779 nucleotides) under Solanum tuberosum (potato). RNAcentral's name for it is "long non-coding RNA (STUB_LNC002349)". Lineage: Eukaryota; Viridiplantae; Streptophyta; Magnoliopsida; Solanales; Solanaceae. The record is from RNAcentral.